GAUGAACGCUGGCGGCGUGCUUAACACAUGCAAGUCGAACGGCAAGGCCCAAGCUUGCUUGGGUACUCGAGUGGCGAACGGGUGAGUAACACGUGGGUGAUCUGCCCUGCACUUCGGGAUAAGCCUGGGAAACUGGGUCUAAUACCGGAUAGGACGAUGGUUUGGAUUCCAUUGUGGAAAGUUUUUUCGGUGUGGGAUGAGCUCGCGGCCUAUCAGCUUGUUGGUGGGGUAAUGGCCUACCAAGGCGUCGACGGGUAGCCGGCCUGAGAGGGUGUACGGCCACAUUAGAACUGAGAUACGGGCCAGACUCCUACGGGGGGGAGCAGUGGGGAAUAUUGCACAAUGGGCGCAAGCCUGAUGCAGCGACGCCGCGUGGGGGAUGACGGCCUUCGGGUUGUAAACACCUUUCGCUAGGGACGAAGCGUUUUUGUGACGGUACCUGGAGAAGAAGCACCGGCUAACUACGUG
RNAcentral lists this ribosomal RNA (468 nucleotides) under uncultured bacterium. Its description in RNAcentral is "partial 16S ribosomal RNA". It matches the Rfam family "Bacterial small subunit ribosomal RNA", at positions 28 to 507 of the family's 1533-position model. The record is from RNAcentral.